Molecule: long non-coding RNA, 2318 nt
Filed under: Panax ginseng (ginseng)
Lineage: Eukaryota; Viridiplantae; Streptophyta; Magnoliopsida; Apiales; Araliaceae
Description: long non-coding RNA (PGIN_LNC018936)
Source: RNAcentral
AACUUUUAGGACUAACCUCUUUUAGAAAAUGGGAGAGGAGAAGUAGGGUUGCUGCCUAAUGGCAGCAACAGGACCCCAAAAUUUUAUCUGGGCUUGAUUCCUUAUGAUUUUCUGUUAGCUGCAGUUGGUAAGAUAAACAAAUUUUAAGGGAAGCUAUAAUCUAAACCAGGCCAAAAUGAAGGGGACUGCUGCAUAUGAGCAGCAGUAGUUGAUGUCAUGUGACUGCUAAAGUAGUCUACUAACCACCUUGGUAGAGAAUUGAAAUCUUCAAAAAAAAAAAGCAAUCAAAUGAUGUAACUUGAGUAGGUGUUGUAAACAUGUAUACUUUAUAGUAUGCUUACAAGUUGAGAAGAAUAAUGUGAUAAAGAUGAAGUUAUGUGACUGAUUAGCAGUCAACAAUAGAAGUGGCCUCAAUAAACUGCUAUUGCAGUUUUAGGCUUGCCAAAUUCAGUUAAAGCUGAGAAUAACUUAAACUUCAUUAAGAUCCUUAUUGUCAAAACAUAGGAAACUAUUAUGGCAGUCUUGGAAAAGCCAUUUUUGGCUUUAUAGUGCAACUCAAAAACUUUCCCAUCAAGUUCAAAAUUUAAAUAAACAAGUGUGUGGGGCAUGUCUCAAAAUCAUACAUGUAAGUAAAGAGAAAGGAAAUGAAGCUACUGCCUUUAGGCAGUAGCAGGUCACAAAGCAAACAAACUGCUAUGGCAGUUUUAAUUAGAUAAUUGGCCUUGAAAUUAAAAUGUGAAGGAUUAGGCAUAGAAUGAUAUUGGAAAUACCCUUAAUAAGCUACAAAAGCAUUUUUGUAUGCUAGAACUAAAACACUCAUGUGUUAAAAUCCUAAUAAGAUAUAGGCUAUAAACAUGUUGUGUGACACCAUUACUGAGAAAAAUGGUGAAGAUAAGAACAUGGAUGAGAUAUUUGAAAAAUGUAUUAUAUAUAAGAAAUCUAUCCAUGACCACUGAAAUUACGUGAUAUAUGAUUUAACUAUAUGAUUAACAUACUUGAUUAAUGCAAAUAAUAACAGUAAUAUGAUUCCUAUUACUUGUUGCAAGUAUGUCGAACCCAACAAAGUGAAAAUUGACUAAUGUGAAAACAUGGAUGAGAUAUUUGAAAAAUAUAUAAAAUAUAGGAAUCUAACUACAAACUUGACCACUAAAAUUAUGAGAUGUGUGAUCAUACACAAGCUAUGUGGUUUAGCUAAUUAGCUAAUAUGCUUGAAAAUGCAAAUGAUUGUGUAGGCUCUGUGAGAACGUAUUAAGCUGAAUCAAUAGUAUACAAACGAGGCAAGUUUCUAACUCUUUACUCUUUAUUGAGCAAUUACUCUGCAGUGGACAGGUUCUUUAAUUUCUGAACUGUCUGUCCUUAUUUAUGAAUAAUAUAAGGUUAAAAAGCCUUUUUAUUUCAAUUAGCUUCAAAAGAAUAAAAUAUCAACUUUUCUAUCUUAAAUGAGUUUUACCUUGAAAGUAUGUCAAUACCAUUACUUCGGUUAGACAAUUGUUGAGAUAUAUUGAUAUUAUUCAUGAAAUUAUCAAUUAAUGCUUUCCAAACCAUUUUGUUAUUAUGGUAUGGAUUCUUAUAUAAUGAUGUGAACGAACAACCCUUUUAUAGGGGCAUAUUGUACCGGACAUAUGAUUCCGAAGGACAUGUAAAGUGUCAUUAGACUGUUAUGUUGUGCACAAUGUAGGGUACUUAGGCUGAUCCCCUAAAGUACGAGUCUAGGAUAUAAAUCAGCUUUUAUAAACUGUAUGUAUCCAUGAAUUAUAGUAUUAUUACUGUCAAUUCUAGUAAAGAGUUCACUGGUCAUUUGACCUUACAGCAUGCUAAAGUCUAAUUUUUCAGACUCAACACUUUUAAAGAAGUAUCUUGUUCAGUAUUUAUUAUUGAAUCCUCAUUGAUAUAAUAUUUCUGUUCCAUUAUAUUUAGCUACUUAUUUCCUUGCAGAGCAAGCUUGUUGCUCACCCUUGCGCUAAAUAUAAUGUUUUCAGUUAAGAAUGAAGUUGCUGGUCCAUCUGGUAAAGACAAAGGAAAAGACAAAGUUGUGGAAUAGUCUUUAUUAAGCGCAUGUGCUUACUUAAGUAGUAAAUGUAAUAAAUACUGUUAGUAUUAUGUUGUGUAAUGAUAUUUGAUUCGUAAGUUAUGUAAAGGUCUAUAGAACCUGGGAUUUAUGUUAUGUAAUAUAAGACAAUUUUCUUUUAGUAUGAAUGGAUAUAUUAGUAUCGUGAGCACCAAACCCGAGUUAAAGAUAACCCAGAUUUGGGGGCGUCACAAUUGCCCACAAGUAUAAUAAUGUAACAAAAAUAUAAUAACAUGCGAGUGAAUCAAAG